UUGGUGGAAAGCUUUUGUGGUUUUGGAUGGACUCGCGGCCUAUCAGCUUGUUGGUGAGGUAAUGGCUUACCAAGGCGACGACGGGUAGCCGGCCUGAGAGGGUGACCGGCCACACUGGGACUGAGACACGGCCCAGACUCCUACGGGAGGCAGCAGUGGGGAAUAUUGCACAAUGGGCGCAAGCCUGAUGCAGCGACGCCGCGUGAGGGAUGACGGCCUUCGGGUUGUAAACCUCUUUCAGUAGGGAAGAAGCGAAAGUGACGGUACCUGCAGAAGAAGCGCCGGCUAACUACGUGCCAGCAGCCGCGGUAAUACGUAGGGCGCAAGCGUUAUCCGGAAUUAUUGGGCGUAAAGAGCUCGUAGGCGGUUUGUCGCGUCUGCCGUGAAAGUCCGGGGCUCAACUCCGGAUCUGCGGUGGGUACGGGCAGACUAGAGUGAUGUAGGGGAGACUGGAAUUCCUGGUGUAGCGGUGAAAUGCGCAGAUAUCAGGAGGAACACCGAUGGCGAAGGCAGGUCUCUGGGCAUUAACUGACGCUGAGGAGCGAAAGCAUGGGGAGCGAACAGGAUUAGAUACCCUGGUAGUCCAUGCCGUAAACGUUGGGCACUAGGUGUGGGGGACAUUCCACGUUUUCCGCGCCGUAGCUAACGCAUUAAGUGCCCCGCCUGGGGAGUACGGCCGCAAGGCUAAAACUCAAAGGAAUUGACGGGGGCCCGCACAAGCGGCGGAGCAUGCGGAUUAAUUCGAUGCAACGCGAAGAACCUUACCAAGGCUUGACAUGGACCGGACCGCCGCAGAAAUGUGGUUUCCCCUUUGGGGCUGGUUUACAGGUGGUGCAUGGUUGUCGUCAGCUCGUGUCGUGAGAUGUUGGGUUAAGUCCCGCAACGAGCGCAACCCUCGUUCUAUGUUGCCAGCACGUGAUGGUGGGGACUCAUAGGAGACUGCCGGGGUCAACUCGGAGGAAGGUGGGGACGACGUCAAAUCAUCAUGCCCCUUAUGUCUUGGGCUUCACGCAUGCUACAAUGGCCGGUACAAAGGGUUGCGAUACUGUGAGGUGGAGCUAAUCCCAAAAAGCCGGUCUCAGUUCGGAUUGGGGUCUGCAACUCGACCCCAUGAAGUCGGAGUCGCUAGUAAUCGCAGAUCAGCAACGCUGCGGUGAAUACGUUCCCGGGCCUUGUACACACCGCCCGUCAAGUCACGAAAGUUGGUAACACCCGAAGCCGGUGGCCUAA
RNAcentral lists this ribosomal RNA (1230 nucleotides) under Arthrobacter sp. RNAcentral's name for it is "bacterial SSU rRNA". It matches the Rfam family "Bacterial small subunit ribosomal RNA", at positions 196 to 1438 of the family's 1533-position model. Lineage: Bacteria; Bacillati; Actinomycetota; Actinomycetes; Micrococcales; Micrococcaceae. The record is from RNAcentral.